CAAAUCUCCUGCUUGGCGAGUGGAUCUUUACCACUGAGCCACCAGGGAAGCCCCCACAUUUAAAAUCCAACAAUCCUGCAAGGUAUGUACUAUUGUCUCUAUUUUAUACAUAAGAGAAUGGAUGAUUUUGAGAUCACACAGCUUAAAAGUGGCAAAGCUGUGACCUGAACACAAGUCAGCAUAUCUUCAAAAUGCCAAGAGCUUCCCGCUCCCAGUGCUGUCGGUAACAGUGGAGAGGGGAGGCGAAUGAUGCUUGGAAGGAUGGAGGAACCUCUUUCUGGUCCACUAACUGGAAUUUAUAGUUCUAAAGCUUCCGUCUCAGCAUCAAAUAUUUUAUUGAAUUGGAUUUAGACCUCUUCACUGUCGACUGAGCCCAAUGAGCCUUCCCACAAAACCUUUCCAAAUCGAGCAGAAGUCAGACAUUGACAUCCCCUGAAUGUGAGCUCCAGAACCAUCAUUCAUGUCUCCCCUGGUUUUGGACACCAGUUCUGGUCUAGACUGGCGUUUCUUGUCCUGCAAAGCCAGUCUGUUGGACUUCCUGGUUCUGAAACCCAUUCCAUCCCAGAUCUCUCCCUGGAGGACACGUUUGUCUUCUUCGAUCCAGUGCUGUCUGAUUCACCUCCAUGAGUGGCUGAACUCCCCCUGGCGAUGUCUGGCUCCUACUCAUACAGGGCUAUUUGUUAAAUGUGCCUGGAGGUUCUCCUCUUGAAAUUUCAAGCGGAUGAACCUCAUUACCCUCCUCAUUCUUCAAGGUGAGACUGGAAUCUCCCAUCCACCAGAAGCUUGCCUGGACCUCUUAACCUACAGUGGUAACAACAGCAACAGCCAUCACCAUUUUCCAUCCUCAGAGUAAUGCUGUGACACAGGCAUUGUUAUUACUUCUACUCUGGAUAAGAAGAUUGAACUCAAAAUGGUUAGGAGUUGCCUACAUUUAUAACCUGGUAAUAAUAAAAAAUAGCAAGCAUUCA
Molecule: long non-coding RNA, 968 nt
Organism: Bos indicus x Bos taurus (hybrid cattle)
Lineage: Eukaryota; Metazoa; Chordata; Mammalia; Artiodactyla; Bovidae
Source: Ensembl